RNAcentral lists this ribosomal RNA (729 nucleotides) under Klebsiella aerogenes. Its description in RNAcentral is "partial 23S ribosomal RNA". It matches the Rfam family "Bacterial large subunit ribosomal RNA", at positions 911 to 1638 of the family's 2925-position model. The record is from RNAcentral. Lineage: Bacteria; Pseudomonadati; Pseudomonadota; Gammaproteobacteria; Enterobacterales; Enterobacteriaceae.
UGUUUCGGCUAGGGGGUCAUCCCGACUUACCAACCCGAUGCAAACUACGAAUACCGAAGAAUGUUAUCACGGGAGACACACGGCGGGUGCUAACGUCCGUCGUGAAGAGGGAAACAACCCAGACCGCCAGCUAAGGUCCCAAAGUCACAGUUAAGUGGGAAACGAUGUGGGAAGGCACAGACAGCCAGGAUGUUGGCUUAGAAGCAGCCAUCAUUUAAAGAAAGCGUAAUAGCUCACUGGUCGAGUCGGCCUGCGCGGAAGAUGUAACGGGGCUAAACUGUGCACCGAAGCUGCGGCAGCGACACUAUGUGUUGUUGGGUAGGGGAGCGUUCUGUAAGCCUGCGAAGGUGGCCUGUGAGGGUUGCUGGAGGUAUCAGAAGUGCGAAUGCUGACAUAAGUAACGAUAAUGCGGGUGAAAAGCCCGCACGCCGGAAGACCAAGGGUUCCUGUCCAACGUUAAUCGGGGCAGGGUGAGUCGACCCCUAAGGCGAGGCCGAAAGGCGUAGUCGAUGGGAAACAGGUUAAUAUUCCUGUACUUGGUGUUACUGCGAAGGGGGGACGGAGAAGGCUAUGUUAGCCGGGCGACGGUUGUCCCGGUUUAAGCAUGUAGGCGGAGGUUCCAGGUAAAUCCGGUACCUUUUAACGCUGAGGUGUGAUGACGAGGCACUACGGUGCUGAAGUAACAAAUGCCCUGCUUCCAGGAAAAGCCUCUAAGCAUCAGGUAACAUU